GAUGAACGCUGGCGGCGUGCCUAAUACAUGCAAGUCGAGCGGACGGACGAGAAGCUUGCUUCUCUGAUGUUAGCGGCGGACGGGUGAGUAACACGUGGAUAACCUACCUAUAAGACUGGGAUAACUUCGGGAAACCGGAGCUAAUACCGGAUAAUAUUUUGAACCGCAUGGUUCAAAAGUGAAAGACGGUCUUGCUGUCUCUUAUAGAUGGAUCCGCGCUGCAUUAGCUAGUUGGUAAGGUAACGGCUUACCAAGGCAACGAUGCAUAGCCGACCUGAGAGGGUGAUCGGCCACACUGGAACUGGGACGCGGUCCAUACUCCUACGGGAGGCAGCAGUAGGGAAUCUUCCGCAAUGGGCGAAAGCCUGACGGAGCAACGCCGCGUGAGUGAUGAAGGUCUUCGGAUCGUAAAACUCUGUUAUUAGGGAAGAACAUAUGUGUAAGGAACUGUGCACAGCUUGACGGUACCUAGUCAGAAAGCCACGGCUAACUACGUG
RNAcentral lists this ribosomal RNA (497 nucleotides) under uncultured bacterium. Its description in RNAcentral is "partial 16S ribosomal RNA". It matches the Rfam family "Bacterial small subunit ribosomal RNA", at positions 28 to 507 of the family's 1533-position model. The record is from RNAcentral.